CCUACGGGAGGCAGCAGUGAGGAAUAUUGGUCAAUGGACGCAAGUCUGAACCAGCCAUGCCGCAUGAAGGAAGACGGUUCUAUGAGUUGUAAACUGCUUUUGUACGAGGACAAACUCAGAUACGCGUACCCGUCUGAGAGUACCUUACGAAUAAGCAUCGGCUAACUCCGUGCCAGCAGCCGCGGUAAUACGGAGGAUUCAAGCGUUAUCCGGAUUUAUUGGGGUUAAAGGGUGCGCAGGCGGUCGGAUAAGUCAGCGGUGAAAGCCCGAGGCUCAACUCCGGCAGUGCCUCUGAUACUGGUAGGCUAGAGUGUGGGAGAGGUAGGCGGAAUGUGCGGUGUAGCGGUGAAAUGCUUAGAGAUCGUACAGAACACCGAUUGCGAAGGCAGCUUACCGAGC
This 399-nucleotide ribosomal RNA is filed under the name uncultured bacterium. Its description in RNAcentral is "partial 16S ribosomal RNA". It matches the Rfam family "Bacterial small subunit ribosomal RNA", at positions 338 to 734 of the family's 1533-position model. The record is from RNAcentral.